GCGCUCGCUUUGACAGCACACAUCCUAAAUUGGAAUGAUACAGAGAAGACUGGCAUGACCCUUGUGCAAGAA
RNAcentral lists this small nuclear RNA (72 nucleotides) under Mesocricetus auratus (golden hamster). The record is from RNAcentral. Lineage: Eukaryota; Metazoa; Chordata; Mammalia; Rodentia; Cricetidae.